GACAGAGGGGGCAAGCGUUGCUCGGAAUUACUGGGCGUAAAGGGCGCGUAGGCGGGAUGGCAAGUCGGUCGUGAAAUCCCUCGGCUCAACUGAGGAUCGUCGAUCGAUACUGCCGUUCUUGAGGAUUGCAGAGGAGACUGGAAUUCCCGGUGUAGCGGUGAAAUGCGCAGAUAUCAGGAAGAACACCUAGGGCGAAGGCAGCUCUCUGGGACGGUACUGACGCUGAGACGCGAAAGCGUGGGGAGCGAACAGG
RNAcentral lists this ribosomal RNA (253 nucleotides) under uncultured bacterium. RNAcentral's name for it is "partial 16S ribosomal RNA". It matches the Rfam family "Bacterial small subunit ribosomal RNA", at positions 524 to 776 of the family's 1533-position model. The record is from RNAcentral.